AAUUGCUGUACUUCUGAUGGAAGAGUUACAUCGUUGUACAGAGCGAAGAGCCAAGAGAGAGCGACCUCGUGUCCCUCUGUUACUAUAUAGAAGUGCCAUAAUGACAUCAGACCAUAACUUUAGCCAUAUAAGGACAAGACCCCCAAAUCCACAUUCCAGAGCUCUCUGACAAAGAAAGCCUUGUGACUUAGACCAUAUGUUA
Pelobates cultripes (western spadefoot toad) is the source of this 202-nucleotide non-coding RNA. The record is from the annotation of a GenBank genome assembly. Lineage: Eukaryota; Metazoa; Chordata; Amphibia; Anura; Pelobatidae.